RNAcentral lists this ribosomal RNA (253 nucleotides) under uncultured bacterium. RNAcentral describes it as "partial 16S ribosomal RNA". It matches the Rfam family "Bacterial small subunit ribosomal RNA", at positions 524 to 776 of the family's 1533-position model. The record is from RNAcentral.
GACGUAGGGCGCGAGCGUUGUCCGGAUUUAUUGGGCGUAAAGAGCUCGUAGGCGGCUUGUCGCGUCGUUCGUGAAAACCUGGGGCUCAACCCCAGGCUUGCGGACGAUACGGGCAGGCUAGAGUUCGGUAGGGGAGACUGGAAUUCCUGGUGUAGCGGCGAAAUGCGCAGAUAUCAGGAGGAACACCGGUGGCGAAGGCGGGUCUCUGGGCCGAUACUGACGCUGAGGAGCGAAAGCGUGGGGAGCGAACAGG